AUUGAACGCUGGCGGCAUGCCUUACACAUGCAAGUCGAACGGUAACAGGUCUUCGGAUGCUGACGAGUGGCGAACGGGUGAGUAAUGCAUCGGAACGUGCCUAGUAGUGGGGGAUAACUACUCGAAAGAGUGGCUAAUACCGCAUGAGAUCUACGGAUGAAAGCAGGGGAUCGCAAGACCUUGUGCUACUAGAGCGGCCGAUGGCAGAUUAGGUAGUUGGUGGGAUAAAAGCUUACCAAGCCGACGAUCUGUAGCUGGUCUGAGAGGACGAUCAGCAACACUGGGACUGAGACACGGCCCAGACUCCUACGGGAGGCAGCAGUGGGGAAUUUUGGACAAUGGGCGCAAGCCUGAUCCAGCAAUGCCGCGUGCAGGAUGAAGGCCUUCGGGUUGUAAACUGCUUUCGUACGGAACGAAAAGCCCCGGGUUAAUACCCUGGGGUCAUGACGGUACCGUAAGAAUAAGCACCGGCUAACUACGUGCCAGCCGCCGCCGUAA
Molecule: ribosomal RNA, 498 nt
Filed under: uncultured bacterium
Lineage: Bacteria
Description: partial 16S ribosomal RNA
Rfam family: Bacterial small subunit ribosomal RNA
Source: RNAcentral